Molecule: ribosomal RNA, 245 nt
Filed under: uncultured bacterium
Lineage: Bacteria
Description: partial 16S ribosomal RNA
Rfam family: Bacterial small subunit ribosomal RNA
Source: RNAcentral
UACGUAGGGGGCGAGCGUUUGUCCGGAGUUACUGGGCGUAAAGCGCACGCAGGCGGUCUGCUAAGUUUGGAGUGACAGUUGGUGGCUUACUGCCAAAGUGCUUCGAAACUGACAGACUUGAGGGCUUCAGAGGGACACGGAAUUCCGGGUGGAGUGGUGGAAAUGCGUAGAGAUCCGGAGGAACACCAAAGGCGAAGGCAGUGUCCUGGGGAGUACCUGACGCUCAGGUGCGAAGCCAGGGAGCG